Non-coding RNA from Leptonychotes weddellii (Weddell seal), 1018 nucleotides. The record is from RefSeq and is a predicted model, not a curated record. NCBI's taxonomy places the organism in Eukaryota, Metazoa, Chordata, Mammalia, Carnivora, Phocidae.
CAGGUCCAGGACGCCCAGCCCCUUGUGGAUGCCCACGCCCCACGGAGCCUCAGCCACCUCCACCUGAAACUCAAGAAGCUGAAGCUGGAAGAGGAGCGGCUCGCCACCAUCGACAGGGACAACUGCCUGCUGCUGGCGAAAUUGUCCUGCAUCCUGAGGACCAGGGGCCAGACCGACAGCAGAAACAACUGCACACAGAGGAGGUACCGGGGCCCCUGCUCCCUACAGUCAGCACCAAACCUGGCAGGGCCCAGAGUGUUCCACUCCAGGCCUGCACAGAAGAGCUGCGCCGGAGCCAGAACACGGGGUUCCCAUCCUCCCUGCAGAGAGCCCUGUGCCUUUUCCUCUGUGGACAGGAUCCCACAGGGAGAUUCUCCCAUCUGCUGCCUGGAUUCUCUUUGAAAAACGCAAGUCCCAACCAGCCUGGAGGUAAAUCCAAACCACCAAGUGGCUUCCCCGUCAGGACCUGCCUGAUAUGUCAUACACAGGAAAUGAGGGAAGAAGGAGGGAAAAGAGGAAGCAGAAGUGACCCCGGGGAGGUGCCAGCCAGUCAGAAGCCACAGGAAGUGCCUGAGCUUGAACAAGGGAGCCAGACAGCAGGACUUCAGGAAGCAUAAAAGGAACGCGAGGGGCCAAAGGGGGCCUGUGAAGCCGCCCAGCUCCUCCCACACCAGGAAAUUAUCUCCACAGUCACAUACCACCUCCUUGUCCUGCUUGGAUUUUAAAGCAGUCAAAGACCCCCUUGUGCCCUUCCUACGUAUUUCUCUUUAUUCAACUCUGGGCCGUGUGCUGAGAGCUGAGUGUGGUCGCUUUGCAUGUUCAAACUCAGGAUGAAUGCAGCUUCACUGCUGUGUUGAAGUAGAGAGCACCAAGCUAAAUCACAAGGUAAUGGUAGAAAUGGUGUGUCUCUUUGUGAUUAGUCUAAUGGAGCCCCAGCAGGAAUGAAAGUCAAUGAUUUUUAUCAAGAAUGCAUCAGUUUGGGUGCCUGGGUGGCUCAGUCGGUUAAGUGUCUGCCUUC